GGCUAUGAAAGAACUUCUUAUUGUGGUGGGAUCGCGCAUGGGCAGGAUGGUGUAACCAUCCGGCAUAAGCCACCCAUGCGCGACGACAGGCUCCUUGAAGGGGCCUUUUUUUAUGCCCGGUA
Molecule: small RNA, 122 nt
Organism: Martelella sp. AD-3
Lineage: Bacteria; Pseudomonadati; Pseudomonadota; Alphaproteobacteria; Hyphomicrobiales; Aurantimonadaceae
Rfam family: Rhizobiales sRNA Atu_C8
Source: Rfam